RNAcentral lists this transfer RNA (62 nucleotides) under Ixodes myrmecobii. Its description in RNAcentral is "tRNA-His". The record is from RNAcentral. Lineage: Eukaryota; Metazoa; Arthropoda; Arachnida; Ixodida; Ixodidae.
ACUUAAUUAGUUUAUAUUAAAAUAAUAAUUUGUGGAAUUAUAGAUGUUUGUAACAUUAGGUA